RNAcentral lists this ribosomal RNA (460 nucleotides) under uncultured bacterium. RNAcentral's name for it is "partial 16S ribosomal RNA". It matches the Rfam family "Bacterial small subunit ribosomal RNA", at positions 338 to 795 of the family's 1533-position model. The record is from RNAcentral.
CCUACGGGAGGCAGCAGUGAGGAAUAUUGGUCAAUGGACGGAAGUCUGAACCAGCCAUGCCGCGUGCAGGAAGACGGCUCUAUGAGUUGUAAACUGCUUUUGUACAAGGGUAAACCUGAAUACGUGUAUUCAGCUGAAAGUACUGUACGAAUAAGGAUCGGCUAACUCCGUGCCAGCAGCCGCGGUAAUACGGAGGAUCCAAGCGUUAUCCGGAUUUAUUGGGUUUAAAGGGUGCGUAGGCGGAUUGAUAAGUUAGAGGUGAAAUUUUCGGGCUUAACUGGGGAACUGCAUCUAAUACUGGUGAUCUAGAGAGUAGGUGCGGUAGGCGGAAUGUAUGGUGUAGCGGUGAAAUGCUUAGAGAUCAUACAGAACACCGAUUGCGAAGGCAGCUUACCAAUCUAUAUCUGACGUUGAGGCACGAAAGCGUGGGGAGCAAACAGGAUUAGAUACCCGAGUAGUC